Molecule: ribosomal RNA, 206 nt
Filed under: uncultured bacterium
Lineage: Bacteria
Description: partial 16S ribosomal RNA
Rfam family: Bacterial small subunit ribosomal RNA
Source: RNAcentral
AGCGCAGGUGGUUGUAUAAGUCUGAAGUAAAAGGCAGUGGCUCGACCAUUGUGUGCUUUGGAAACUGUACAACUUGAGUGCAGAAGGGGAGAGUGGAAUUCCAUGCGUAGCGGUGAAAUGCGUAGAUAUAUGGAGGAACACCGGUGGCGAAAGCGGCUCUCUGGUCUGUAACUGACACUGAGGCUCGAAAGCGUGGGGAGCAAACA